Passer domesticus (house sparrow) is the source of this 411-nucleotide long non-coding RNA. RefSeq lists it as uncharacterized. Lineage: Eukaryota; Metazoa; Chordata; Aves; Passeriformes; Passeridae. The record is from RefSeq and is a predicted model, not a curated record. The transcript is spliced from 3 exons.
CCCCACCACCAGGGACAGGGAUGCCUUCCACCUUCUCCCUACGUGGCACUGGAAGAUAAUUUUUCUUGCAUGUUGUGCCUUGAUGUGUGAUUGUACAUUUAUUGAGGCCCCCAUGUGUAACCAUUAGCAGAAGGCCCUGAUUCAAAGCAUACUUCUGUCAUCAUGCAGUAGAGAGAGGCACCUGUCUCAGAUGAGAUAAACCAUGUUUUCUGCUUCAUUAAGACAUUUUCCUAAAUUGUUUCCAGCAUAUUCAUUGUUCCUUGUGGAAAUCUACUCUAACACUUUAUUUGUUCAACUGUUUGGACUUGACUUCAUGUUGCCAUUUGAUAUGAGAAGGGACAUAGGUGGGUUCUUUUUCCUAUAUGUGUGGGUUCAAUAGUUUUUCUUUCAUGUGGAUCACUCUGAGAGUCA